This 88-nucleotide transfer RNA is filed under the name Ignavibacteria bacterium. Its description in RNAcentral is "tRNA-Leu". It matches the Rfam family "tRNA". Rfam says of the family: Transfer RNA (tRNA) molecules are approximately 80 nucleotides in length. Their secondary structure includes four short double-helical elements and three loops (D, anti-codon, and T loops). Lineage: Bacteria; Pseudomonadati; Ignavibacteriota; Ignavibacteria. The record is from RNAcentral.
GGGCGAGUGGCGGAACUGGCAGACGCGCUAGACUUAGGAUCUAGUUCCUGAACAAGGAUUGGGGGUUCGAGUCCCCCCUCGCCCACAA